This 249-nucleotide unclassified non-coding RNA is filed under the name Hevea brasiliensis (rubber tree). Lineage: Eukaryota; Viridiplantae; Streptophyta; Magnoliopsida; Malpighiales; Euphorbiaceae. The record is from RNAcentral.
GGCUGCUUGGAAAUUUGCAAAAGAGAAUGGGGUUGACUUGGUAACGCUCCAUCCAGGUUUAGUCAUUGGUCCACUUCUGCAGCCUACGCUCAAUUUCUCUUGUGAGGCUAUAGUGGACGUCAUAAAAGAAGGAAAAGAGGCAUGGUCUGGUGGAAUAUAUAGAUUUGUUGAUGUUAGGGAUGUUGCUAAUGCACAUAUUCUAGCCUUUGAGGUUCUUUCAGCAAAUGGAAGAUAUUGUUUAGUUGGGGC